CACACCAUGGGAGUCUGCUGCACCAGAAGCAGGUAGCCUAACCGCAAGGGAGGCAGCCGUCCAUGGUAUGGCUGGUGACUGGGGUG
This 86-nucleotide ribosomal RNA is filed under the name uncultured bacterium. RNAcentral describes it as "partial 16S ribosomal RNA". The record is from RNAcentral.